RNAcentral lists this ribosomal RNA (253 nucleotides) under uncultured bacterium. Its description in RNAcentral is "partial 16S ribosomal RNA". It matches the Rfam family "Bacterial small subunit ribosomal RNA", at positions 524 to 776 of the family's 1533-position model. The record is from RNAcentral.
UACGUAGGGUGCGAGCGUUAAUCGGAAUUACUGGGCGUAAAGCGUGCGCAGGCGGUUCGUUGUGUCGGUGGUGAAAUCCCCGGGCUUAACCUGGGAAUGGCCAUGGAAACUGGCGAACUGGAGUGCGGCAGAGGGGGGUGGAAUUCCGCGUGUAGCAGUGAAAUGCGUAGAGAUGCGGAGGAACACCGAUGGCGAAGGCAGCCCCCUGGGCUAGCACUGACGCUGAUGCGCGAAAGCUAGGGGAGCAAACAGG